RNAcentral lists this ribosomal RNA (897 nucleotides) under Siphula fastigiata. Its description in RNAcentral is "eukaryotic LSU rRNA". It matches the Rfam family "Eukaryotic large subunit ribosomal RNA", at positions 40 to 961 of the family's 3401-position model. The record is from RNAcentral. Lineage: Eukaryota; Fungi; Ascomycota; Lecanoromycetes; Pertusariales; Icmadophilaceae.
AUAUCAAUAAGCGGAGGAAAAGAAACCAACAGGGAUUGCCUCAGUAACGGCGAGUGAAGCGGCAACAGCUCAAAUUUGAAAUCUGACUUCGGUCUGAGUUGUAAUUUGUAGAGGGUAUUUGGAAAGCGACGUCGGCCUAAGUCCCUUGGAACAGGGCGUCAUAGAGGGUGAGAAUCCCGUAUGUGGCCAUGCGUCAAUUUCAUGUCAAAUCUCUUCGACGAGUCGAGUUGUUUGGGAAUGCAGCUCAAAAUGGGUGGUAAAUUUCAUCUAAAGCUAAAUACCGGCCAGAGACCGAUAGCGCACAAGUAGAGUGAUCGAAAGAUGAAAAGCACUUUGGAAAGAGAGUUAAACAGUACGUGAAAUUGUUGAAAGGGAAGCGCUUGCCAUUAGACCGAUCUUCAGGCAGCAGUUUAGAGGUAACUCUGGAUGUAAAGCACCUGUUCUUCGGCCAGCAUCGGUUUAGGUGGUUUGACAAAAACCAUAAGAACGUAGCUCCUCGGAGUGUUAUAGCUUAUGGUAUAAUGAAGCCUACCUGGACCGAGGACCGCGCUUCGGCUAGGAUGCUGGCGUAAUGAUGGCAAGCGACCCGUCUUGAAACACGGACCAAGGAGUCAAUCGUUUAAGCGAGUGUUUGGGUGUUAAACCCAUGCGCGUAAUGAAAGUGAAUGGAGGUCAGAACCUCUCUGAGGCGCAUGAUCGACCGAAUCAGAAGUUUACGGAUGGUUUUGAGUAAUAGCUUCAAUGAUUGGACCCGAAAGAUGGUGAACUAUGCGUGAAUAGGGUGAAGCCAGAGGAAACUCUGGUGGAGGCUCGCAGCGGUUCUGACGUGCAAAUCGAUCGUCAAAUUUGCGCAUAGGGGCGAAAGACCAAUCGAACUAUCUAGUAGCUGGUUCCUGC